CUUGCGCAGUCACAGACAACCCAAGAGACCUUCUUUCGUAAUGGCUGAAUAUUUAGAUGGGAGCUGAACUUGAACCCUAGUAAUGUUCUGCUCAGGACAGAGGUCAUGCCUGGAAAUAGCAUGGAUGUGAGCUCUGCUACCAGCCAGGAGGUGUCCAGGGCAAAUUCAGGACCGGGCUGGCGCCUGUGUCUUUUGCUGGAGGCAAAGCCAUUUGGUUGGCACUUCGCAGGAGGAUCUCUGCACCAGGUCUUCAUCGUAAGGAGGCAUCCUGUGCUAUGGGUGUCUGCACUAGAGUCAAAGGAGAGCCCAGUGGGGAACGACAAAGUACGUCACACGGAACAGUGAGCUGGACAUGGGGUGUAAGCUGGAGUCUGACAUGGGAUGCUGAGAAAAAUGACAGUGAUGACAGAGACGGACAUACAGGCCUUCCAUGAACGCGGUGCCAGAUCUGACGUGUGACAACCAUUAUUACCCGCCACAGCGACUUCAUGAAGAAGAUCAUGUGCGAAGUAAACACCUUCCCAGGUGGGAAACGGCAGGUCUGUGAUCUGAAACAAGCCCAUACUCCUAACGCUUACCAACGCUGCAGGAGCGACAUCUAGAGUGAAGCAACAGAAAUGCCUCCUCUCGGCUUUGGUUUGGGACUGGAGUGAGGAGUUGGCCUCCUGUUUCAUGCCUCAGGAGCCAUUUUACCCUUCUAAGAAUAAAUUCUGUGUGGGAUCCUGACAAACCCUAAUUUCUCACUUCUGAACUAAUGAGUCCUAGACUUAGGGCUGAGGUACACGCGGCGAAGUGACAGCCUGGUAAGGCUGCAGACAGACAUGUGCCAUCAUCAGUAGUAGGAAAACCUGUGAGCACACAGAGAGUUUGGACGUGCGGCCCAGGAUCUCCCAUCUUCCGCAUGGCUGCUUUUUGUUUAUUAACUGCACAUUGUGUUGCUAAUCGCAUUUUCCAUGUUCAUUUGGUGUCGGGGAAGCUGUGGC
Long non-coding RNA from Arvicola amphibius (Eurasian water vole), 983 nucleotides. RefSeq lists it as uncharacterized. The record is from RefSeq and is a predicted model, not a curated record. Lineage: Eukaryota; Metazoa; Chordata; Mammalia; Rodentia; Cricetidae. The transcript has 4 exons.